Molecule: long non-coding RNA, 4427 nt
Organism: Mus musculus (house mouse)
Lineage: Eukaryota; Metazoa; Chordata; Mammalia; Rodentia; Muridae
Product: predicted gene 45301
Exons: 2
Source: RefSeq, a predicted model, not a curated record
CCCACCCCCCGCCAUAAUGCACUGAUUCUCCUAAAGGGAGAGAAUUCAAGAGCACUGUUGCCAUUCAUCUUGGUAACCAGUGCUCUACGGUUGCUAGCUGACAGGAGGUAGUGCCCUCCCCUCUCUGCCACCAGGGUCAUUCACAUAGCCACUUACUGCUGUACUCUAUUACUAAAGUACUCAACUUUAUCUACUGUGUCUGGCUGCGUUCCAACAGCAUUCCAACAGCAUGGCCGAUUGGAUGGGGAGCCUUCUCUCUGAGGCAUUCUUCCACCUUCAGGUUUCCAUUAGGUAAAUUAAAGAAUUAAGAUUCUGCCUAAUGUCUUCCCUGAUGCCAGAAUUGUGCUACUUCAGGAUGACCCAAGAUCUGUCUCUUGUUUCCUACCCAUUUCACACACACACACACACACACACACACACACACACACACACACACACACACACACACAUAAAUAUAUAAAAUAUUUGUGAUGGAAAAGUCAUCUUGCUUGAGCAAAAGAGAAAGUGGAACAGAGGCGACAUGGUGCUGAUGUCCUAUGGCAACCUUGUGGAGAAUGGCAGCUUGGGUCUCAUCCAGAAGAUGUCUUCAGCCUUCCCAGAAGUGGCUUCAGUAUGAGGUUAUGGGCAUAAACCACACUCCCUGAUGCACAGUUUCUCUCUAGUCUUCAUUUGGAAAAAAGAAAUCUCAUCACAGGUCAGCCAGCAUAGAUUUCUAAGCAGUCACUGUAAAUCCCACAUCGUGGCUAACCUAGAAGAAAAAAGUAUUGGACACCAAGGACCUCAAUUUGAAAUCAGAGAAAAGCAAGACUAACAAAUGCCAGCAGGCAAGCACUUGCUGAAGUGUAUUUGCCGGAGCUAUCAAAAAGCCUGAUGGAAAAAGUGGGCGUCCACACCAGUUUUCUAGGAACUCAUUCUGUUUAUACCUGCUACAUUGGUGUAACUAUUAUUAUUAUUAUUAAUCCCCUGACCUUCACAACUGUACUGGUUUGGGUGAUAAAUUAUGAAGUCACCUUAAUGAUGGCUCAUCUAUAGAAAUGAACUCAACAAAAACUAUAACCAUAGCAACUAAGAAUCAUGUUGAUGGGUGCUUUGUUAGCAUAGAUGGCAUCACAUACACCCCCAGUGUAUUUUAGCCUGAAUGAGGCAAUUCCUUCUGUUGCUGGUGAGAUUUGUAUAGGCUCCGCUUGUCUUGUUGGUUAAUCUGAUGCAAAGACUCAUCUCUGUGCUCAAAUUCUGAUCUCUGGCAUAGGCUUAGACUAUUGCUGAGACACGUCAGGUCUUUUGUCUAUGGGAAACAGGUCAAGAUCAGCCCUAAGGAAUGGGCAAAAAGCGAACUGUGUAGUCCACAUGAAGGAAGCAGGCUGGAGGUCUCACCUGCUCAGCUUGACAGCCUGGUCUGAGCAACCCGCUCCAUGCUGGAUGCUCAGCGUUCAGUCAGUGAGGCAGAGGACUUAUAUGAGGAAUAACCUUAUAGUGAAGCACUAAGAAUAGCGUGGGCUGUGAGCAAUUUGGAAUGUACACUAUACAUCAGUGGGAGGCAGGGGAUGUGGCUGUGGAUGUUGGCAGAGGCUAAAUGAUGAAGGACCUACAUCAGUAAGCAUCAUGGUUUUCCUCUGGAGUCGAAAUGACAUCUCAAAUGUCAUCCCAUCCUGGGGCCCCUCCUUGUACUGACAGUUACGUUUGCAGCAAGAUGACCUGGUUUUUCUCUCAGAACCUCUGUGCCCCUUCUAGGACUCUGUCCAUAUCUUGAUCAGACCAUCAGAUGACACAGUUCCUAGGGAUCCAGGACAAAGAGUGCCGGCAGAAACUGCCAACCUUGGGCACGUGUCCUCAUGUUUGUGGUCACCUCUAGACACUACAGAAGAGCCGAUGCAGUAAGAACAAUUGAUUGAUGGGGGUCAAGUUGGGGUUUCCAAAGCAAUUGCUGACGCUGCUGAGCUGACAUAGAAGAUGUUGUCUGUUCUUCUGGCGGACCUGGAUGGUAUAAAAGGCCGUUUAACCCAGUGCGCAGCUGCAGCCUUGAGCUGUGUGAAUCUUGAACUCCCUGCCGUUCUGAUGCACAGCACGUAAAAAGCAUGUGAUUCUGUUUACCCUGGUAGUGUGCACUCUUGGCCACAGCAGCAGAUCAGUUUGGAAUAAGCAAAUAGAGUCACCCCGAAAGGCAAACUGCAGAAACUCUCCGCAAUCACACGAGGAGGGCAUGCCAACAGAGAUUCUUUUCAAAGAAGAGAAUUAUGGGAAAGAAAUCGAUGAGUAAGAACUUUUAAAAUCAAGUGCAGAUGUUUGUUUUCUCAUUUGCUCCACAUGAGGGCUAAACAUGAUAUCUGUAAGAAACGUCUCUCUUUAGGCCCAAGGGAGAUUUCCCUUAAAACAGUGCAGAAAGUUUCCCCUUCACUAAUUCCCUUAAACAUGUUUCUUGAAUAGUGACUUUUUUUUUCUUUCUUCCAACAGUCAGCAGAGCUGAUUUGCUGACAAAUCAGUGAUGAUCUGAGGGAGAGUGGCGAGUCUUCUUUUCCCCUGAGGACAGCAGAGGAGCCAAGUGAUGGAGGCUAUCUAGUCUAAAAUAGGACCAUGAGGUCACUGGACUGAGUUUGGUCCACCCCAGAUCAUGUGGCUACCAAGUCCACCUUGUCCAUCCAAAAUGCCUUAGUGAGUGUAUGGUGAUGACCUUUUAGCUGCAACCCUUCCUGGAGAGAAGGCUCCUGUUUAGAAGCCUUUAUUAUGACGGGUUCAUUCAUCUUUCCUUGUCAGUUGUUAAAUCAGCACUCCUCUGCCCGAUGAGUUGACAAACUUGGGCCAGAAUGUGAAUCAAGAAUCUACUUCCUUUGUACAGGAAUUCAGGCUCUGUGAAAUCUAUCAGCCAAGUCACGAUGGCUUUGGUUUUUCCAGACAGGGUCUCUCUGUGUAGCCCCAACUAUCCUCGAACUUGCUCUGUAGACCAAGCUGAGUUUGAGUUCAGAGACCCACCUGCCUCUGCCUUCAGAGUGCUGGGACUAAAGUGUGCACCCCCACUGCUGGAAGACAGUGUUUUUGCCAUGGAGCCUGAAAUGCACUAUGAUGUGAACUCCUAGAACUGGUACCCUUCGGUAACCAUUGUGAUCUGUUACCUACCUGCAGGCGGCUCUCUGAGAAGCACCGGCAUAUUCAUGACUAUUGCUUGUGCCGUCUUCACAGGCCAGAAACGUCUUCAGUUAUCAGUCAGUCAACACUCAGAGAGGACAGUUUGCUUUGGAACAGUUCAAAUCUAUAAAACGAUGCAACGGUACAAAGAACGCCCAUGAGCUUUCCUCCUCCUAGGUUGCCCUUCAGAUUCUGCCUGUGGGCUACUUGCUACUAAGGGGGCAAUUCAUGAUCACAUGACCUGGAUUUCCCAUCUCUGCCUUUCUCAGAGCACUGUGCCCUCAACCUCAUGAGGACCUCAUUACACACAGCCACAGGAUUUUCUCUAUGCUGCGUCAUAGCAAUCUCAGUCAUAUAGUUUUUGGCAAAAAACAAAAAACCAAAAACAUAUCACAGAGGUAGUGCUGUGAUUCUUUACUGCUCUCUCACCAAGUGGCCCUUGUUGUGAAUUCAUUCCAAUGCUCGUGGUUGUGAGUUCGAUCGCUUGAUUGAGGUAGUGAUUGCCCCUGUUCUUUUUAUUAAGGUUACUUUUUAAAAAAUGUGAUUAAUAUUAUAUAAAUAUUCCAUUACCCAGUCCAUUGCCACCUAUUUGUGUGUAUGUGUGUAUGUGUGUAUGUGUGUAUGUGUGUACAUGUGCAUGUAUGUCUGUGUGUAUGUCUGUGUGUAUAUGUCUGUGUGUAUGUCUGUGUGUAUAUGUACUUGUGUGUAUAUGUGAAUGUGUGUGUGUCUGGGUGUGUGUAUGUGUGUGUAUGUGUGUUUGUAUGUGUGUAUGUGCAUGUGUGUAUAUGUAAAUGUGUGUGUGUAUAUAUGUGCAUGUAUGUGUGUGUACAUGUGUGUGUAUAUGUGCCUGUAUGCCUGUGUGAGUAUGUGUGUGUGUGUGUGUGUGUGUGUGUGUGUGUGUGUGUGUGUGUGUGUAUGUGUGUGUGUGUGCGCGCGUGCGUGUGCAUAAGGCUGGAGUUGCAUGUUGACAGUCCUUCUCAGAUACUCUCCCCUUUAUUUCUUGAGACAGGGUCUCUCACUGAAGCUGAAGUGUCCAGGUUCAGCUAGACUAGCUGGUCAGGAAGCCUGUGGGUCCUCUUGUCUAUGCCUUCCCAGCUCUGGGAUGAGAGAUGUCUGCUUCCCUACUUGGGUUUUUACAUGGGUGAUGGAGACCAAACAAAGGUCUUCACAUUUGUGUGGCAAGUGCCUUAUUGACAGAGUUGUAUUCCACAGUUCCCACUUGCUUGUUUUAACACCAACUGAUGCUUCUUGCUAGAGUUUUUUUUUCCAUUUAUCAAUUAUAUACUAUUCUUACAAUUUGUCACAUA